CUGACGGCCGGGGGGCUUCUUUCCUUCCUUCCCGAGGAGGAGCAGAAGGCGCACGCGGAGAAGGAGUUGUCCCGCAGCCGCAUCCCCCGCCUCGUCCUCCGGCCGCAGCCGCCGCAGCAGCGCAAGGCGUCGCCCGCCUCAGAGUCGCCCUUUUCGGAGGAGGAGAGCCGGGAGUUCAACCCGCCCAGCUCCUCCGGGGGCUCCGCCAGGACCAUCAGCAGCAACAGCUUCUGCUCAGAUGACACUGGCUGUCCUAGUAGCCAGUCAGUAUCUCCAGUUAAGACUCCUUCUGAUGCUGGACACAGCCCAAUCAGUUUUUGCACCGGUAGCGAUGGAGACUUCUCCAGGAAGAAAUUCAGUGCAGGAACAAUGAACGAAGGAAACUCACCGCUGGCUCGAUAUAAGAAGGAUACAAAGACAAGCCUUGUAAAGCCCGGUGAGUAUGACAUAGUUCCUUUCAUUUAAGUAAUUACACUCUCUAAUUGACAAUUACAUCUACAGGUGUCCAGAUGCUUUGUAUUGUGCUGCCUGUGAUACAGCUAAUGUUGAUAGUAAAUAAAAAAGAUAAUUAUGUUCUUUCUAUGGAACCACCUGCAAGGUUUGAAAACACUGCAAGUGUUAGCUUUUUCAUGGAAAUGUAAUUAAUUGAUGUCUUCACUUUCUUUUAUGAGGCUGGCUGGUGAUGUCAAAUAACAACUGAAAUAUAUUUUAUCCUAUUUCAUGGUAAUUGUAUGCAUAGUUCACUGGCCAAAAUAAAUUAAUCUUGCUAUCAAAACAACAAAUUAUAGUCUUCUAAUGUUGUUAGAUUGAUGGUUAGACUCUGCCUAAAGUUUAUGCCAUCAGGCUGCAAUAGCUCUCAGGAUACAGCAUGACAAAUCAAGACAGGAUAAUGGGUAGAGUGCAUAUGCGAGUUAUGCAGAUGUAACUCCAUGGUGCAUUGUCUGAAUGAAGAGCUUGUCUCCCAUUGCCUCAAGCUAAUGGGCCACCUUAGACCACCAAUUAAAUCAGCACCUGCUUGUUACACAUCCCAGACUAAAUGUCCUGGUGUGUCAUGGGCUGCUGUAAUUUUAAUGAGUAGAUAUAAAAUGUAUUUGUGAAUCACAUACAGACAGCUCUUGAUUGCAGAUUGUCAGGAUAUUUCUGCCUUUAGCUCUUGAUUACAAAUGGCCAGGAUAUUUUCACUGUUAUUUAAUUAAACUGGGAGACAGGGUGUUUUGACUCUGUGCAGAGCCAGCUGCAGAACUGACAUGGUUUAUGAGCU
Molecule: non-coding RNA, 1261 nt
Organism: Meleagris gallopavo (turkey)
Lineage: Eukaryota; Metazoa; Chordata; Aves; Galliformes; Phasianidae
Source: RefSeq, a predicted model, not a curated record